CUCAUAUUGAACGCUGGCGGCAGGCCUAACACAUGCAAGUCGAACGGUAACAGGAAGAAGCUUGCUUCUUUGCUGACGAGUGGCGGACGGGUGAGUAAUGUCUGGGAAACUGCCUGAUGGAGGGGGAUAACUACUGGAAACGGUAGCUAAUACCGCAUAACGUCGCAAGACCAAAGAGGGGGACCUUCGGGCCUCUUGCCAUCGGAUGUGCCCAGAUGGGAUUAGCUAGUAGGUGGGGUAAAGGCUCACCUAGGCGACGAUCCCUAGCUGGUCUGAGAGGAUGACCAGCCACACUGGAACUGAGACACGGUCCAGACUCCUACGGGAGGCAGCAGUGGGGAAUAUUGCACAAUGGGCGCAAGCCUGAUGCAGCCAUGCCGCGUGUAUGAAGAAGGCCUUCGGGUUGUAAAGUACUUUCAGCGGGGAGGAAGGGAGUAAAGUUAAUACCUUUGCUCAUUGACGUUACCCGCAGAAGAAGCACCGGCUAACUCCGUGCCAGCAGCCGCGGUAAUACGGAGGGUGCAAGCGUUAAUCGGAAUUACUGGGCGUAAAGCGCACGCAGGCGGUUUGUUAAGUCAGAUGUGAAAUCCCCGGGCUCAACCUGGGAACUGCAUCUGAUACUGGCAAGCUUGAGUCUCGUAGAGGGGGGUAGAAUUCCAGGUGUAGCGGUGAAAUGCGUAGAGAUCUGGAGGAAUACCGGUGGCGAAGGCGGCCCCCUGGACGAAGACUGACGCUCAGGUGCGAAAGCGUGGGGAGCAAACGGGAUUAGAUACCCUGGUAGUCCACGCCGUAAACGAUGUCGACUUGGAGGUUGUGCCCUUGAGGCGUGGCUUCCGGAGCUAACGCGUUAAGUCGACCGCCUGGGGAGUACGGCCGCAAGGUUAAAACUCAAAUGAAUUGACGGGGGCCCGCACAAGCGGUGGAGCAUGUGGUUUAAUUCGAUGCAACGCGAAGAACCUUACCUGGUCUGGACAUCCACAGAACUUUCCAGAGAUGGAUUGGUGCCUUCGGGAACUGUGAGACAGGUGCUGCAUGGCUGUCGUCAGCUCGUGUUGUGAAAUGUUGGGUUAAGUCCCGCAACGAGCGCAACCCUUAUCCUUUGUUGCCAGCGGUCCGGCCGGGAACUCAAAGGAGACUGCCAGUGAUAAACUGGAGGAAGGUGGGGAUGACGUCAAGUCAUCAUGGCCCUUACGACCAGGGCUACACACGUGCUACAAUGGCGCAUACAAAGAGAAGCGACCUCGCGAGAGCAAGCGGACCUCAUAAAGUGCGUCGUAGUCCGGAUUGGAGUCUGCAACUCGACUCCAUGAAGUCGGAAUCGCUAGUAAUCGUGGAUCAGAAUGCCACGGUGAAUACGUUCCCGGGCCUUGUACACACCGCCCGUCACACCAUGGGAGUGGGUUGCAAAAGAAGUAGGUAGCUUAACCUUCGGGAGGGCGCUUACCAC
RNAcentral lists this ribosomal RNA (1447 nucleotides) under uncultured organism. Its description in RNAcentral is "16S ribosomal RNA". It matches the Rfam family "Bacterial small subunit ribosomal RNA". The record is from RNAcentral.